RNA transcript from Athalia rosae (coleseed sawfly), 2130 nucleotides. It is a transcript of the gene named farnesol dehydrogenase-like, with no coding region annotated. The transcript is spliced from 7 exons. Lineage: Eukaryota; Metazoa; Arthropoda; Insecta; Hymenoptera; Athaliidae. The record is from RefSeq and is a predicted model, not a curated record.
CCCAUGAAUUUCCAUACAAAACGACGGAUAGUAACGAGAGAAAUUGUUAUUGUCCUACGCCAACAGUCCCUUCUUUCCGUUAUUCAACAUGGUCCUUUAAUAUUAUUGAAUCUCCCGAGACUGCGCUGUAGUUUAAUCUAAGCGGUUCUUCAAAAAAUAAUUGUAAUUUAUGUCAAAUCAGCCCCUCAUCCAGUUUCUACCCUGCAAAUAUAGGAGAAACUGGAAUAGGUUCACCCAUUUGGCACAGAUUAAUUUUCUUCUGGAAUCAAGGAUCAACCGAAUGAGAUGGGAUUUUCAGGGUUCAUCGUUGUCAAUCCCGAGUACAUAACGUAAUCUUGCGUUUAUACAAAUCUAUCACCUAUGUUCGAUCGGUGGCGUGGCCUCGAUAAUUCGUCAGCGGUGAUGAGUCAGCUACUGAUUGUCUACUCAAACGACACCCCCUCCCCCCCACCCCCCACUGGAUUUUUCAAAUGGAACGGACUAUGAUCUUGAACGAACAAUUAUAGAAUGAUUCUUUGUUUUGCUAUCGCACUUAAUUACGUAACUUCAUGUGAUUACCAACAACAUACUUUUCGCUUCACCAGACCUCCUCACUGUUACACCUAUAAAAGUAAAAGCGACGAUAUUCUCAGUUAGUAGUUAAUAGAAACUGCUUCGAGUGACAAGAAACCGACGAAGAUCAAAUUUAGAAAAGAUGGAACGUUGGGUCGGGAAGGUCGCGCUGGUAACUGGAGCCAGCUCUGGAAUCGGUGCUGCGAUAACUGAGAAUCUGGUCAGAGAUGGUCUUCAGGUCGUCGGAGUGGCCAGGCGAGUGGAAAAAGUCGAAGAAAUAAAUAAAAAACUCGAGGGAUUCAAAGGGAAACUGCACGUGAGGAAGUGCGACGUCACCAAGGAGGAAGAUAUCCUCGAGGUCUUCCGAUGGAUAAAGGAAAACCUCGGCGGUGUGGAUGUCCUCGUUAAUAACGCCGGAUUGUUCGUGGCCGGAUCACUCACCGACGGAGAAACGGAAGGCUUCAAACGUAUCUUGGAUGUGAAUGUGCUGGCUGUCGCCAUCGCGACGAGGGAGGCUGUGCGCUCCAUGAAGGAACGCGAAGUCGCGGGUCACAUUUUCAACAUUAACAGCGUAUUGGGUCACUUCAUAGGACCGCCGAAUAACAUCGUAUCCUUGUAUCCGAGCAGCAAGUUUGCGGUUACAGCUAUGACGGAAGUGACGAGAAAGGAACUUGUCCUAGCAGGAACGAAAAUCAAAAUCACGAGCGUCAGUCCAGGUUACGUGAGUACGGAAUUAUUCAGUCCUAAUGGAGUUUCGGUCAUCUCUCCGGACCGGCUCAAAACCCUGUCAGCGCUGAACCCCGAGGAUGUCGCGAAUGCCGUUAGCUAUGCAUUGUCCACUCCGGAACACGUUCAGGUCUGUGAGCUGAUUAUCCGCGCCGUUGGAGGUCUGGAUUAACACGUUUCCGUAACUUACAAUUAGAUUAUGGAGUGGACGUAUAACAUAACGAUACGAGGAUCCACCUUCCAAGUGCAUAAUGUCAUCGUGUUUGGAAAUACAACAUGUUGUGAAGAUACGUGUAUCUAGAAUCCUUCAAAGUCCGCCCUCGAGAGGUUCUUCAAACAUUGUGCGUGCAAAUAAAAUCGUUAUCGGGCACGCGUAGAUAGAAUUAAUAGGUCAUAGAGCAGUUACUGCAAACACAGACUUGGUCAUCUGGCUAUUCAGGGAACGGCUGAGCUUGAAUUUAAAAAAAAUUGAACGUCAGGUCGAAAAGUUUCCCUGAAAUUCAAAUCAACCAGAUUCGCGAACGAUAUUAUUGUUUUUGUCCGAUGGCGUGAAAUGAACGGGGCAGUUUGGAGAUUUGUUCGAAGUUAAUUCGGUGGAAGGGCCGGAUUUAGCGAGGAUCGAGUUCAAAAGGUCAAAAGACUCUAUCGCACGAAGUAAACGCGGAUCGGUAGAAUCGUACGUGGUCAUUUCGCUAAUGGACCAUCAAUGGAUAUAUAUUCGCUCUGUAUCUACCUAUGUGGAGGAACUUUGUAAACGACGAUUUAAGAAUCGACUCUUAAAAUGGGCGCAACCCCCUCGUUCAAGUGAAAGUAAAGUGUAAUGUGAAUGAAAGUAAAAUGGAUUUUUUCAAA